Molecule: small RNA, 185 nt
Filed under: Staphylococcus aureus
Lineage: Bacteria; Bacillati; Bacillota; Bacilli; Caryophanales; Staphylococcaceae
Description: HMPRNC0000_0066
Source: RNAcentral
GCUUCUAUACGUGACCAUUUAGAUUUCAAUCGAGAUUUAGUAUCUUCUUCUUGGCCAGAAGUAAUGACAUCAUAUGCAUCAUCAAUAUCUAAAUCAGUUGGUAAAUUUAAUGGAAUAAUACGACUUUCAUAGUAUAUUUUAACCGUACUACCGUCUUCUACAGAUUGUGUCAUAUCAUAUACAUC